RNAcentral lists this long non-coding RNA (290 nucleotides) under Mytilus galloprovincialis (Mediterranean mussel). Lineage: Eukaryota; Metazoa; Mollusca; Bivalvia; Mytilida; Mytilidae. The record is from RNAcentral.
UGUCUUCAAAUUGGUAAUUUAUAUACCAUGUUUAUUAAAUGUUAUUAAUUAAGCUCAGUUUCCCUUUCUAAUUCCUUAAAAUGUCAAUGUCUUACCGCCUGGACUACGCUCAUAGGGAAAUACCCCAAAAUGGUACCCAAUGAGGGAAAUUCCAAACACUUUUUUUUAACAAUAUUUGUUACAUAUUUUUUUUUUUUUAUCGAUCUCAGUAUAAAGACAAUAUACGUAUAGUGUCUUGAAAUAUGAAAUUUAUUUUUAUUCGGCCAGAAACGGGAAAAUGCUCGGUACAA